UACGGAAGGCAGCAGUGGGGAAUAUUGCACAAUGGGCGCAAGCCUGAUGCAGCCAUGCCGCGUGUAUGAAAAAGGCCUUCGGGUUGUAAAGUACUUUCAGUCGUGAGGAAGGUGUUAAGGUUAAUAACCUUAGCAAUUGACGUUAGCGACAGAAGAAGCACCGGCUAACUCCGUGCCAGCAGCCGCGGUAAUACGGAGGGUGCGAGCGUUAAUCGGAAUUACUGGGCGUAAAGGGCACGCAGGCGGUUAAUUAAGUUGGAUGUGAAAUCCCCGGGCUUAACCUGGGAAUGGCAUUCAAGACUGGUUAGCUAGAGUCUUGUAGAGGGGGUAGAAUUCCAUGUGUAGCGGUGAAAUGCGUAGAGAUGUGGAGGAAUACCGGUGGCGAAGGCGGCCCCUGGACAAAGACCUGACGCUCAUGUGACGAAAGCGGUGGGGAGACAAACGA
Molecule: ribosomal RNA, 445 nt
Filed under: uncultured bacterium
Lineage: Bacteria
Description: bacterial SSU rRNA
Rfam family: Bacterial small subunit ribosomal RNA
Source: RNAcentral